GACGAACGCUGGCGGCGUGCCUAAUACAUGCAAGUAGAACGCACAGUUUAUACCGUAGCUUGCUACACCAUAGACUGUGAGUUGCGAACGGGUGAGUAACGCGUAGGUAACCUGCCUGGUAGCGGGGGAUAACUAUUGGAAACGAUAGCUAAUACCGCAUAAUAUUAAUUAUUGCAUGAUAAUUAAUUGAAAGGUGCAAUUGCACCACUACCAGAUGGACCUGCGUUGUAUUAGCUAGUAGGUGAGGUAACGGCUCACCUAGGCGACGAUACAUAGCCGACCUGAGAGGGUGAUCGGCCACACUGGGACUGAGACACGGCCCAGACUCCUACGGGAGGCCGCAGUAGGGAAUCUUCGGCAAUGGACGAAAGUCUGACCGAGCAACGCCGCGUGAGUGAAGAAGGUUUUCGGAUCGUAAAGCUCUGUUGUAAGAGAAGAACGGGUGUGAGAGUGGAAAGUUCACACUGUGACGGUAUCUUACCAGAAAGGGACGGCUAACUACGUG
RNAcentral lists this ribosomal RNA (505 nucleotides) under uncultured bacterium. RNAcentral describes it as "partial 16S ribosomal RNA". It matches the Rfam family "Bacterial small subunit ribosomal RNA", at positions 28 to 507 of the family's 1533-position model. The record is from RNAcentral.